AGAGUUUGAUCCUGGCUCAGAGUGAACGCUGGCGGCGUGCCUAAUACAUGCAAGUCGAACGAUGAAAUUUCUAGCUUGCUAGAAAUGGAUUAGUGGCGCACGGGUGAGUAACGCAUAGGUUAUGUGCCUCUUAGUUUGGGAUAGCCAUUGGAAACGAUGAUUAAUACCAGAUACUCCCUACGGGGGAAAGAUUUAUCGCUAAGAGAUCAGCCUAUGUCCUAUCAGCUUGUUGGUAAGGUAAUGGCUUACCAAGGCUAUGACGGGUAUCCGGCCUGAGAGGGUGAACGGACACACUGGAACUGAGACACGGUCCAGACUCCUACGGGAGGCAGCAGUAGGGAAUAUUGCUCAAUGGGGGAAACCCUGAAGCAGCAACGCCGCGUGGAGGAUGAAGGUUUUAGGAUUGUAAACUCCUUUUGUUAGAGAAGAUAAUGACGGUAUCUAACGAAUAAGCACCGGCUAACUCCGUGCCAGCAGCCGCGGUAAUACGGAGGGUGCAAGCGUUACUCGGAAUCACUGGGCGUAAAGAGCGCGUAGGCGGGAUAGUCAGUCAGGUGUGAAAUCCUAUGGCUUAACCAUAGAACUGCAUUUGAAACUACUAUUCUAGAGUGUGGGAGAGGUAGGUGGAAUUCUUGGUGUAGGGGUAAAAUCCGUAGAGAUCAAGAGGAAUACUCAUUGCGAAGGCGACCUGCUGGAACAUUACUGACGCUGAUUGCGCGAAAGCGUGGGGAGCAAACAGGAUUAGAUACCCUGGUAGUCCACGCCCUAAACGAUGGAUGCUAGUUGUUGGAGGGCUUAGUCUCUCCAGUAAUGCAGCUAACGCAUUAAGCAUCCCGCCUGGGGAGUACGGUCGCAAGAUUAAAACUCAAAGGAAUAGACGGGGACCCGCACAAGUGGUGGAGCAUGUGGUUUAAUUCGAAGAUACACGAAGAACCUUACCUAGGCUUGACAUUGAGAGAAUCCGCUAGAAAUAGUGGAGUGUCUAGCUUGCUAGACCUUGAAAACAGGUGCUGCACGGCUGUCGUCAGCUCGUGUCGUGAGAUGUUGGGUUAAGUCCCGCAACGAGCGCAACCCCCUUUCUUAGUUGCUAACAGGUCAUGCUGAGAACUCUAAGGAUACUGCCUCCGUAAGGAGGAGGAAGGUGGGGACGACGUCAAGUCAUCAUGGCCCUUACGCCUAGGGCUACACACGUGCUACAAUGGGGUGCACAAAGAGAAGCAAUACUGCGAAGUGGAGCCAAUCUUCAAAACACCUCUCAGUUCGGAUUGUAGGCUGCAACUCGCCUGCAUGAAGCUGGAAUCGCUAGUAAUCGCAAAUCAGCCAUGUUGCGGUGAAUACGUUCCCGGGUCUUGUACUCACCGCCCGUCACACCAUGGGAGUUGUGUUUGCCUUAAGUCAGGAUGCUAAAUUAGCUACUGCCCACGGCACACACAGCGACUGGGGUGAAGUCGUAACAAGGUAACCGUAGGUGAACCUGCGGUUG
This 1483-nucleotide ribosomal RNA is filed under the name Helicobacter pylori. RNAcentral describes it as "bacterial SSU rRNA". It matches the Rfam family "Bacterial small subunit ribosomal RNA". Lineage: Bacteria; Pseudomonadati; Campylobacterota; Epsilonproteobacteria; Campylobacterales; Helicobacteraceae. RNAcentral also lists the same sequence under 1 other name. The record is from RNAcentral.